Salvelinus fontinalis (brook trout) is the source of this 4752-nucleotide long non-coding RNA. RefSeq lists it as uncharacterized. The record is from RefSeq and is a predicted model, not a curated record. Lineage: Eukaryota; Metazoa; Chordata; Actinopteri; Salmoniformes; Salmonidae. The transcript has 3 exons.
GCCAGUCACGUGUGGUUGUUAACAAAGAAGCAAAACAGAGUCAUAUUCCUCUGCAGCGCAAGUUAGUGAGAUAGUAUGUGACUCACCGCGGCGGCUGAGUCAGAGGCCAGUCUAGCAGCGUAGCGGGCGAUGAGACUGUGCUCUUCAUCCUGGUGGUUACUGCUCUCCAGCAAACUGUUUACAGAAAGAUCUCUAAGAUGAUACUACUGCACAGAGUCAAGAGAGGCGGAGGCAGCAGGAGAGAGGAACAGCAAGGACUAAAGCAGAUGAUUCCUACAAUCUUAGCACCCUUACAAAAUAGUCCAUUUGGAUGGAUACUUCAGUAAACGGUCAGUAGCUUCCACUGAAUAAUUUUGUUAAGGUCUGAGUUUCCUUUCAGAGAAAAGGAACAAUUCCAAUACUGUAGAAAACUUUGAGAUGUAUUGUACAGCAUUUAUUGUAACUCAUGAACGCACUAAAGUCCAAGAAUCGAAAUCCAAUCAAACUAUUUAAUGUAACGGUCCAAGUUGUUCUAAUAGAGGACCAACAUAAACACCCAGAUGUUCUCUGAAAAUAACUGACUACUGCCACUAAUCAAAUUAAAGGAAAAGCAGCAAAUUCAAAGCUGUCAUCAAAAGCACAUUAAAAUGACAAUUCUAGGGCAGUAAACUAGAUUUUUACUAUGUGAAGAGCAAAACAAAUGCAACUUUCUACAGCCCUGUAACAUCUUAAUGAGAAAGACAAUGUUGAUUUAGCCUUCAAAAAUGAUUGCUAAGUAGCACAACAGCUGGCAAAAGCAUUAUGGUGUAUGAAAAAAGUGUUACAUUUUCUAAUGGCUUAGCUACAUUACUGUAUGUCAGCUGUUAAAAGACAAGUCAAUGGUUUGUGAAUAGACAUUCUUAAUUUAUUCUGCUUGACGUGAGUAGUGUAUGCAGUAUUAAGGCUUGUAGCUCCAAUUAAUAAAGGGAGAGCCGUGCCAGGGGUGGUGUAAAUACAAUGUGAAUACAGUGGCUUCAGAAAGUAUUCAAACCCCUUGACUUUUUCCACAUUUUGUCGUUGCAGCCUGAAUUUAAAAUUGAUUACAAUUAGACGUUGUGUCUCUGGCCAAUACACAAUACCCCAUAAUGUCAAAGUGGAAUUAUGUUUUUAUAAAUUUUUACGAAUUAAUUAAAAAUUAAAAGCUGUUUUCAGUCAAUAAGUAUUCAACCCCUUUAUUAUAGCAUUCCUAAAUAAGUCCAGGAGUAAAACUUUGCUUAACAAGUCACAUAAUAAGUUGCAUAGACUUUGUGUGCAAUAAUAGUGUUUCAAAUUACUAUAUAUUUUUUGGGGGUUUACUUUUACCCCUUUUUCGUGAUAUACAAUUGGUAUUUACAGUCUUGUCCCAUCGCUAGCGGCCGGAGUCAGCUUGCAGGCGCCCGGCCCGCCACAAGGAGUCACUAGACCGCAAUGGGACAAGGAAAUCCCAGCCAGCCAAACCCUCCCCUAACCCAGAGGAUGCUGGGCCGAUUGCGCACCGCCUCAUGGGUCUCCCGGUCACAGCCGGCGGUGACACAACCUGGGAUCAAACCAUGUUGACCGUUGCGCCACACGGAAGGCCCUUAACAUGAUUUUUGAUUGACUACCUCAUCUCUGUACCCCCUCAGUUGAGCAGUGAAUUUCAAACACAGAUUCAACCACAAAGACGAGGGAAUUUUUCCAAAGGCACCUAUUGGUAUAUGGGUAAAAAAUGCAGGCAUUGCAUACAUCCCUUUGAGCAAGGUGAAAAUAUUAAUUACACUUUGAAUAGUGUAUCAAUACGCUACAAAGUUUCAGGCGUCAUUUCUAACUCAGUUGCCGGAGAGGAAGGAAACCCUUCAGUAUUUCAGCAUGAUACUAAUGGUGACUUUAAAACAGUUACAGAGUUUAAUGGCUGUGCAAAUGGCUGUGUAAAACUAUUCCAAAACAUGUGUUCUGUUUGCAAUGAGGCACUAAAGUAAAACUGCAAAAAAUGUGGCAAAGAAAUGCACUGCCCUGAAUACAAACUGUUAAGUUUGGAGCAAAUCCAACACAGCACAUCACUUAGUACCACUCUUCAUAUUUUCAAGCAUGGUCGUGGCUGCAUCAUGUAAUGGGUAUGCUUGUCAUCAGCAAGGACCAGGGAGUUUUUUUUAAAGAUAAAAAGAAACAAAAUAGAGGUAAGCAUAUGCAAGGAAAACCUGGUUCAGUCUGCUUUCCAAUAGACACCGGGAGACAAAUUCACCUUUCAGCAGGACAAUGACCUAAAACACAAGGCCAAAUAUACACUGGAGUUUCUUACCAAGAUGGCAUUGAAUGUUCCUGAGUGGCCUAGUUAUACAGUUGAAGUCGGAAGUUUACAUACACCUCAGCCAAAUACAUUUAAACUCAGUUUUUCACAAUUCCUUACAUUUAAUCCUAGUAAACAUUCCCUGUCUUAGGUCAGUUAGGAUCACCACUUUAUUUUAAGAAUGUGAAAUGUCAGAAUAAUAGUAGAGAGAAUGAUUUAUUUCAGCUUUUAUUUCUUACAUCACAUUCCCAGUGGGUCAGAAGUUUACAUACACUCAAUUAGUAUUUGGUAGCAUUACUUUUAAAUAGUUUAACUUGGGUCAAACGUUUCAGGUAGCCUUCCACAAGCUUCCCACAAUAAGUUGGGUGAAUUUUCGCCCAUUCCUCCUGACAGAGCUGGUGUAACUGAGUCAGGCUUGUAGGCUUCCUUGCUCGCACAUGCUUUUUCAGUUCUACCCACAAUUUUUCUUUAGGAUUGAAGUCAGGGCUUUGUGAUGGCCAUUCCAAUACCUUGACUUUGUUGUCCUUAAACCAUUUUGCCACAACUUUGGAAGUAUGCUUGGGGUCACUGUCCAUUUGGAAGACCCAUUUGUGACCAAGCUUUAACUUCCUGACUGAUGUCUUGAGAUGUUACUUCAAGCUAUCCACAUAAUUUUCCUGCCUCAUGAUGCCAUCUAUUUUGUGAAGUGCACCAGUCCCUCCUGCAGCAAAGCACCCCCCAACAUGAUGUUGCCACCCCCGUGCUUCACGGUUGGGAUGAUGUUCUUCGGCUUGCAAGCCUCCCCCUUUUCCCUCCAUACAUAACGAUGGUCAUUAUGGCCAAACAGUUCUAUUUUUGUUUCAUCAGACCAGAGAACAUUUCUCCAAAAAGUACAAUCUUUGUCACCAUGUGCAGUUGCACACCGUAGUCUGGCUUUUUAUGGCGGUUUUGGAGCAGUGGCUUUUUCCUUGCUGAAUGGCCUUUCAGGUUAUGUCGAUAUAGGACUCGUUUCACUGUAGAUAUAGAUACUUUGUACCUGUUUCCUCCAGCAUCUUCACAAGGUCCUUUGCUGUUGUUCUGGGAUUGAUUUGCACUUUUCGCACCAGAGUACGUUCUCUAGGAGACAGAACGUGUCUCCUUCCUGAGGAGUAUGACAGCUGCGUGGUCCCAUGGUGUUUAUACUUGCGUACUAUUGUUUGUACAGAUGAACUUGGUACCUUCAGGCGCUUGGAAAUUGCUCCCAAGGAUGAACCAAUUUGAAGGUAGGUCUUGAAAUACAUCCACAGGUACACCUCCAAUUGACUCAAAUGAUGUCAAUUAGCCUAUCAGAAGCUUCUAAAGCCAUGACAUAAUUUUCUGGAAUUUUCCAAGCUGUUUAAAGACACAGUCAACUUAGUGUAUGUACACUUCUGACCCACUGGAAUUGUGAUACAGUGAAAUAAUCUGUCUGUAAACAAUUGUUGGAAAAAUUACUUAUGAUAUGCAUACAGUAGAUGUCCUAACCGACUUGCCAAAACUAUAGUUUGUUAACAAGAAAUUUGUGGAGUGGUUGAAAAACGAAUUUUAAUGACUCCAACCUAAGUGUAUGUAAACUUCUGACUUCAACUGUAGUUUUGUCUUAAAUUGGCUUGAAAUUCUAUGGCAAAACUUGAAAAUGGCUAUCUAGCAAUGAUCAAAAAACAACUUGACAGAGCUUGAAGAAUUCUAAAAAGAAUGUGCAAAUAUUGUAAAAUCAAGCUGUGCAAAGCUCUUAGAGACUUACCCAGAAAGAUUCACAGCUGUAAUCGCUGCCAAAGGUGAUUCUAACAUGUAUUGACUCAGCGGUGUGAAUACUUAUGUAAAUUAGAUAUUCUGUUGUUAAUUUUCAAUACAUUUGCUAAAAUUUCUUACAUUUUUUUCUCACUUUGUCAUUAUGGUAUAUUGUGUGUAGAUGGGCGAGAGAGAAAAAAUAUUUGAUACAUGUUGAAUUCAGGCUAUAACACAACAAAAUGUGGAAUAAGUGAAGGGGUAAGAAUAUUUUCUGAAGGCACUCUAGCUAGUAGUUUCCACUGUUACUUUACAGACAGAGGAAUCCAGACUAACCAUGACGUAGGGUUGUGUUGUAGGAGAUUCACAUACAGCCCAAUGAGAACAUGUUCAUCAGCCAGUCUAUCGGCCACAUCGAGACUGUAGUUUAACCUGGAACAGUGUAGGGUUUCAGAACACAAACACAAACGACACACAUGAUGAGAACAAGGAGAAAGGAGUACCGGACAAGAACAGGUCUGGAGAGAGACAGAAUGUCUUCUCAGUCAUUGAAUGAUCAAUAGAAGAAAACACUAAACUGUGUUAUGCUAUCCCUGUUGUAUUCUCUUUUGAUACUAAUACUAUGGAUAGGAAUGUGAUGCUGUACCUGUACUGCAUUUUCAAAUAAUUUACAGUACACAGAGAGAAGAAACAUGCAUUUAUAUCUCUAAUCCUAUAUCAUAAUCCCUUUAUGGGAAUUUUAUCUGAAUAGACAGUGUUUAGGU